AUGAGCGAGUUCCAGCGCAUGGUGGGGCGCAGGCGGUUGAAGGCGUCGGCGGCCCCGAGCUUGGUGAUGACCCAGUCGUCGCUGUCCCACUGGAUGAUGGUCUUGUCGAAGUCGAACAGCACCACCACGGCGGCCAUCUCCGGGAAGAGACGGCGGACGAUGCUUCCUGCCUCCGACGUUUGCGGUACGAGACUCCGGCGUGGCUUCUGUUUGUUUGUUGGUGGCGGCGUCUCGGACUCUCGGUGUGGUUUUAUAGCAGCCGCAGCCGUAGCCGUGUGGCAGCUGGUGACCUGGGAAGGCUUCCACACCGCCACUUGUGGCCUCUCUCUUGUGCUUGCGUUUACAUUCGCUUUGUUCGCCCUUCGCCGUACCAUAACUGUUGUGCAUACUCGAUUGGCUGCCUUUGCCUUCGCCUUUGCAUGGUGCUUUGUCAUCACGAUAGGGAUGGUUCAUCGGAAAGUUUAUUAG
Molecule: ribosomal RNA, 468 nt
Filed under: Triticum aestivum (bread wheat)
Lineage: Eukaryota; Viridiplantae; Streptophyta; Magnoliopsida; Poales; Poaceae
Description: partial small subunit ribosomal RNA
Source: RNAcentral